RNAcentral lists this long non-coding RNA (1451 nucleotides) under Gossypium barbadense (sea-island cotton). RNAcentral describes it as "long non-coding RNA (GBAR_LNC020998)". Lineage: Eukaryota; Viridiplantae; Streptophyta; Magnoliopsida; Malvales; Malvaceae. The record is from RNAcentral.
UUUCAUUUCAUAACCUUCUUCUUCUUGUGGUUGCGAUUUGUUUCUUCAAUAUCUUUGAGCAGUGACGGUAAGUUUUGCUAUUAUAGCUUCCAUCCUAUUGUUGUUCUUUGUCUAAUGGGAGUUCUAUUUCUGGUUAGGAGACCUUUAGGCAACUGUAGGAAUUUCGAGAGGUGACGUUUAAUUGCAAAUCCACUGUGGUUCGUUGAAGGUAAGGUUGUCUAUAGUUUCUGAAAAUUGUUUGUUCUUAAUGCUUCGUUUAAAAGUGACUGAUUAGAGGGUUACUUCUGUUUCCUGCUUGGUUGCAGUCGAAUUAUUGUUCCUUUGGCCUCUGUCUUUGCCUCUUUCAAUAGUCAUUUACGUUUUCGCGCAUUCAGAUUUGAUCAAAGAGUAGUGGGUUGUUGAUUGACACUUUGGCAGUAGGGAAUCGCCAUUCUGUUUUCGCCUGUCAUCUUAGAGUGCUCGUGGUUGGGUUAGCAGCGGAAAUAAACCAGGUGUGUAACCACAACACUAUAAACGAAAAUCGGUGAAAAUCUAAAAAGUGAGACUGUCGACGCCACACGGGCGUGCGAUCGACGAGGUUGGCCGUGUGCGAUACACGAGCCGGACCGAAUUGGGCCAUGUGGGCCACACGAGUAUGUGGGCCCACACGGGUGAAUCACACUAUCAUGUGAAAUUUUUGGGCCAGGUCGUGUGAGCUACAUGACCAAGGCUAUUUUGGGCCAUGUGGCCCAUACGCCCAUGGACUUGUAGGCCCAUUUUCACUGCUUAAUUGCUAAGGUUGCACGGGUCGCCCGAGUCAACUGUGGACCUACUAAAGGGUCAGUAAGCUUACCUAGACCCUUAAUUGACUGAAUGACUGUUAUAUCCAUAUGCGAUAUAUAUAUUUAUGACUGUAUAUUGAACAUGCUAUAAAACUGUACUGAAUACAUGUAUGAUACCAUGAUUUGACAUGACAUGAUUGUAUGAUGCAUAGCAUAGGGAUGGGUUUAUAUUGAUCGAAGGAAGUGUAUUGAAAGACUUCAAGCCUAACUUACUGCCAGCUCAGCUGCAUAUUAUUGUAUAGUUUCGCAUUCGAUGCUACUUGGAGUGUAGGGAUGGGUGGGUUGAUUAUAUCCCCACAUGGAGUGUAGGGUUGGACGAAGAUGGAGUGUAGAGGCUGGCUGGGUAGGAUUUUAUGAUCGCAUAACUGAUACUGUACUGAUUACUGAUUUUGUAAUGGGCCAAGGCCUUAAUGCAUGACUGCACCUGUACUGAGAUGGGCUAAGGCCCUAACUGAAACUAGAUUUGAUAUUGAAAAAGGGCUUAGGCCCAGAUUGUGAUUGCUUUUUGUCUGCUUGUAUAUAUGGGAUUACACGCUGAGUUUUCGUAUACUCACCCUUUUGAUUUAUCUGUACAGGUAAUCCCCAGUCAUAGGAGGAUCGAUGCAAUGGAGGACUCAACGGUGGCCACAC